Molecule: ribosomal RNA, 405 nt
Filed under: uncultured bacterium
Lineage: Bacteria
Description: partial 16S ribosomal RNA
Rfam family: Bacterial small subunit ribosomal RNA
Source: RNAcentral
AUUGAACGCUAGCGGGAUGCUUUACACAUGCCAGUCGAACGAGUGGCGGACGGGUGAGUAAUAUAUCGGAACGUGACCAGUAGCGGGGGAUAACUACUCGAAAGAGUGGCUCAUACCGCCUCCUAUUGGAGCGGCCGAUCUCGGAUUAGCUAGUUGGUGGGGUAAAGGCUCAACACGGAAACGAGCCGUAGCUGGUUUUAGCGGAAGACCAGCCACACUGGGACUGGGACACGGCCCAGACUCCUACGUGAGGCAGCAGUGGGGAAUUUUGGACAAUGGGGGAAACCCUGAUCCAGCCAUCCCGCGUGUAUGAGAAGGCCUUCGGGUUGUAAAUUACUUUUGGCAGAGAAGCGGUAUCUGCAGAAUAAGCACCGGCUAACUACGUGCCAGCCGCCGCGGUAAUAC